Molecule: ribosomal RNA, 1546 nt
Filed under: human gut metagenome
Description: bacterial LSU rRNA
Rfam family: Bacterial large subunit ribosomal RNA
Source: RNAcentral
UGUGGGGUGACGGCGUGCCUAUCGAAAAAUGAGUCUGCGAGUCAGUGGCGGGUGGCGAGCAUAAGCCGUGUGGCGUAUGCGUAGCGAAAGCGAGUCUUAAAAGGCGUUUUUAGUCGCUUGUCCUGGACCCGAAGCGGGAUGAUCUAGCCCUGGGCAGGUUGAAGCGCGGGUAAGACCGCGUGGAGGACCGAACCCACCUGGGUUGAAAACCGGGGGGAUGACCUGGGGCUAGGGGUGAAAGGCCAAUCAAAUUCCGUGAUAGCUGGUUCUCUCCGAAAUGCAUUUAGGUGCAGCGUCGGUCGAUUGCGUCGCGGGGGUAGAGCUACCGGAUGCUUGCGGGCCCUUGUUGGGUACCAACAGCAGCCGAACUCCGAAUACCGUUGACGUGUAUUCCGGCAGUGAGUCGGCGGGGGAUAAGCUCCGUCGUCGAGAGGGAGACAGCCCAGACCGUCGUCUAAGGUCCCGAAGCGUGUGCUAAGUGGGAAAGGAUGUGGAGUCGCAUAGACAGCCAGGAGGUUGGCUCAGAAGCAGCCAUCCUUGAAAGAGUGCGUAACAGCUCACUGGUCUAGUGGUUCCGCGCCGACAAUGUAGCGGGGCUCAAGCACACCACCGAAGACGCGGCAGCAAUCUUCAUGGUUGCUGGGUAGGAGAGCGUCCUGCGAGGGGCGAAGCGGCCGGGUAACCGUGCCGUGGACUUCGUGGGAGUGAGAAUGCAGACAUGAGUAGCGAGAGACGGGUGAGGAUCCCGUCCGCUGGAUGACCAAGGGUUCCGGGGCCACGUUCGUCGUCCCCGGGUGAGUCGGGUCCUAAGGCGAGGCCGACAGGCGUAGUCGAAUGGAUGAACGGGUGGAUAUUCCCGUACCGACCAUGGACCGGCAAAACCGAGACGGUGAGUACUAACCUCCGCCUCGUGGUGGUUCCUUCCUUCGGGUUGGUGUCGCCGCGUGGUGUUGGGAGCGUAGCCGCAGUAGGUCAGCGCAGGGGUGACACGGAAUGGGAGCCGGCCGCGGAGGUGGUUUUCCGUGGUCAAGCACGCAGCCAGUCAUGUAGGCAAAUCCGCAUGGCGCGCAUGGCGAGGUGUGAUGAUGGGAGCCGUUAUGGCUCGAUAUCCGGUUGUCCAGGCCGUCGAGAAAAGCCUCGGCGUGAGGGCCAUGGCCGCCCGUACCCCAAACCGACACUGGUGGUCAGGUAGAGAAUACCAAGGCGAUCGAGCGAAUCCUGGUCAAGGAACUCGGCAAAUCACUCCCGUGCCUUCGGUAUAAGGGAGACCCGCUGGGGUGAAGGACCUUGCGUCCGGAGCUUUGGUGGGUGGCACAGACCAGGGGGUAGCGACUGUUUACCAAAAACACAGGUGCAUGCGAAGGCGAAAGCCGCUGUAUAUGCACUGACGCCUGCCCGGUGCCGGAAGGUUAAGAGGAUCCGUCAAUCCCCUCGGGGACGAAGCGGUGAAUUCAAGCCCCGGUAAACGGCGGUGGUAACUAUAACCAUCCUAAGGUAGCGAAAUUCCUUGUCGGGUAAGUUCCGACCUGCACGAAUGGCGUAACGA